This 253-nucleotide ribosomal RNA is filed under the name uncultured bacterium. RNAcentral describes it as "partial 16S ribosomal RNA". It matches the Rfam family "Bacterial small subunit ribosomal RNA", at positions 524 to 776 of the family's 1533-position model. The record is from RNAcentral.
UACGGAGGGUGCAAGCGUUAUCCGGAUUUACUGGGUUUAAAGGGUGCGUAGGUGGGUAGGUAAGUCAGUGGUGAAAUCUCCGGGCUUAACCCGGAAACUGCCAUUGAUACUAUUUAUCUUGAAUAUCCUGGAGGUGAGCGGAAUAUGUCAUGUAGCGGUGAAAUGCUUAGAUAUGACAUAGAACACCAAUUGCGAAGGCAGCUCACUACGGGAUUAUUGACACUGAGGCACGAAAGCGUGGGGAUCAAACAGG